GGGGAAUAUUGCACAAUGGGCGCAAGCCUGAUGCAGCCAUGCCGCGUGUAUGAAGAAGGCCUUCGGGUUGUAAAGUACUUUCAGCGGGGAGGAAGGCGGUGAGGUUAAUAACCUCGCCGAUUGACGUUACCCGCAGAAGAAGCACCGGCUAACUCCGUGCCAGCAGCCGCGGUAAUACGGAGGGUGCAAGCGUUAAUCGGAAUUACUGAGCGUAAAGCGCACGCAGGCGGUCUGUUAAGUCAGAUGUGAAAUCCCCGGGCUUAACCUGGGAACUGCAUUUGAAACUGGCAGGCUUGAGUCUCGUAGAGGGGGGUAGAAUUCCAGGUGUAGCGGUGAAAUGCGUAGAGAUCUGGAGGAAUACCGGUGGCGAAGGCGGCCCCCUGGACGAAGACUGACGCUCAGGUGCGAAAGCGUGGGGAGCAAAC
This 425-nucleotide ribosomal RNA is filed under the name uncultured bacterium. RNAcentral describes it as "bacterial SSU rRNA". It matches the Rfam family "Bacterial small subunit ribosomal RNA", at positions 356 to 773 of the family's 1533-position model. The record is from RNAcentral.